CAACCUCGUGUUUGGUACAUGCCCACUCGCAUCUCGAGGAUUGCGAAAGAUCGGGAAUGGUCAAAACUGUUUUACGAAGACAACUUCCAAAAAUGCGUCAAGAUGUUUGUGCCGGUGUUGACUCUAGAAGGUGCACCACAUUAGUUUGGUGCCGAAGUUAAUAUGAAGUCCAAGGUUGUCUCAUUUCUGGACUCCCUACACACCGCAAUGGAUGAGAAGUAUCGUGUGGACGCUACGAAAGAAAUGGUAAAGUUGCAAAGUUUCAUUGUUUGAUGUGAACUCAUUC
Long non-coding RNA from Cannabis sativa, 286 nucleotides. RefSeq lists it as uncharacterized. The transcript is spliced from 3 exons. Lineage: Eukaryota; Viridiplantae; Streptophyta; Magnoliopsida; Rosales; Cannabaceae. The record is from RefSeq and is a predicted model, not a curated record.